This 253-nucleotide ribosomal RNA is filed under the name uncultured bacterium. RNAcentral's name for it is "partial 16S ribosomal RNA". It matches the Rfam family "Bacterial small subunit ribosomal RNA", at positions 524 to 776 of the family's 1533-position model. The record is from RNAcentral.
GACAGAGGUGGCAAGCGUUGUUCGGAAUUACUGGGCGUAAAGGGUGUGUAGGUGGUCGAAUAAGUCAGUGGUGAAAGCCCAUAGCUUAACUAUGGAAGUGCCUUUGAUACUGUUUGACUUGAGUGCAGGAGAGGAGGGUGGAAUUCCCGGUGUAGAGGUGAAAUUCGUAGAUAUCGGGAGGAACACCAGCGGCGAAGGCGACCCUCUGGACUGCAACUGACACUGAGACACGAAAGCGUGGGGAGCAAACAGG